GGCGGCGUGCCUACACAUGCAAGUCGAGCGAACCUUCGGGGUGAGCGGCGGUACGGGUGCAGUAACGCGUGGGUAACCUGCCCUGUACACACGGAUAACAUACCGAAAGGUAUGCUAAUACGGGAUAACAUAUGAGAGUCGCAUGGCUUUUAUAUCAAAGCUUUUGCGGUACAGGAUGGACCCGCGUCUGAUUAGCUAGUUGGUAAGGUAACGGCUUACCAAGGCAACGAUCAGUAGCCGACCUGAGAGGGUGAUCGGCCACAUUGGAACUGAGACACGGUCCAAACUCCUACGGGAGGCAGCAGUGGGGAAUAUUGCACAAUGGGCGAAAGCCUGAUGCAGCAACGCCGCGUGAGCGAUGAAGGCCUUCGGGUCGUAAAGCUCUGUCCUCAAGGAAGAUAAUGACGGUACUUGAGGAGGAAGCCCCGGCUAACUACGUGCCAGCAGCCGCGGUAAUACGUAGGGGGCUAGCGUUAUCCGGAAUUACUGGGCGUAAAGGGUGCGUAGGCGGUCUUUCAAGCCAGAAGUGAAAGGCUACGGCUCAACCGUAGUAAGCUUUUGGAACUGUAGGACUUGAGUGCAGGAGAGGAGAGUGGAAUUCCUAGUG
This 607-nucleotide ribosomal RNA is filed under the name Paraclostridium sordellii. Its description in RNAcentral is "bacterial SSU rRNA". It matches the Rfam family "Bacterial small subunit ribosomal RNA", at positions 38 to 675 of the family's 1533-position model. Lineage: Bacteria; Bacillati; Bacillota; Clostridia; Peptostreptococcales; Peptostreptococcaceae. The record is from RNAcentral.